Molecule: transfer RNA, 75 nt
Filed under: Candidatus Lloydbacteria bacterium CG22_combo_CG10-13_8_21_14_all_47_15
Lineage: Bacteria; Candidatus Lloydiibacteriota
Description: tRNA-Cys
Rfam family: tRNA
About the family: Transfer RNA (tRNA) molecules are approximately 80 nucleotides in length. Their secondary structure includes four short double-helical elements and three loops (D, anti-codon, and T loops).
Source: RNAcentral
GGUCCAGUAGCCAAGUGGUAAGGCAAGGGUCUGCAAAACCCUUAUACGGGGGUUCGAUUCCCCCCUGGACCUCAA